UGGGGAAUAUUGCACAAUGGGCGAAAGCCUGAUGCAGCGACGCCGCGUGCGGGAUGAAGGCCUUCGGGUUGUAAACCGCUUUUAAUUGGGAGCAAGCGAGAGUGAGUGUACCUUUUGAAUAAGCACCGGCUAACUACGUGCCAGCAGCCGCGGUAAUACGUAGGGUGCAAGCGUUAUUCGGAAUUAUUGGGCGUAAAGAGCUCGUAGGCGGUUUGUCACGCCUGGUGUGAAAGUCCAUCGCUUAACGGUGGAUCUGCGCCGGGUACGGGCAGGCUAGAGUGCAGUAGGGGAGAUUGGAAUUCCCGGUGUAACGGUGGAAUGUGUAGAUAUCGGGAAGAACACCAAUGGCGAAGGCAGAUCUCUGGGCUGUUACUGACGCUGAGGAGCGAAAGCAUGGGGAGCGAACAGGAUUAGAUACCCUGGUAGUCCAUGCCGUAAACGGUGGAUGCUGGAUGUGGGACCCUUCCACGGGUUCCGUGUCGGAGCUAACGCGUUAAGCAUCCCGCCUGGGGGAGUAC
Molecule: ribosomal RNA, 518 nt
Filed under: uncultured bacterium
Lineage: Bacteria
Description: partial 16S ribosomal RNA
Rfam family: Bacterial small subunit ribosomal RNA
Source: RNAcentral